UACGUAGGUGGCAAGCGUUAUCCGGAAUUAUUGGGCGUAAAGCGCUCGCAGGCGGUUUCUUAAGUCUGAUGUGAAAGCCCACGGCUCAACCGUGGAGGGUCAUUGGAAACUGGGAAACUUGAGUGCAGAAGAGGAGAGUGGAAUUCCACGUGUAGCGGUGAGAUGCGUAGAGAUGUGGAGGAACACCAGUGGCGAAGGCGACUCUCUGGUCUGUAACUGACGCUGAGGAGCGAAAGCGUGGGGAGCAAACAGG
This 253-nucleotide ribosomal RNA is filed under the name uncultured bacterium. RNAcentral's name for it is "partial 16S ribosomal RNA". It matches the Rfam family "Bacterial small subunit ribosomal RNA", at positions 524 to 776 of the family's 1533-position model. The record is from RNAcentral.